UGUCAACGCACAUCUCUUCCAAGAUGAAUGGAAUUAUUCCUGAAAUGGAACAAAUUAUUAGUCAGCUUGAGAGAGGUACCGUAGUGACAAAAUUUUUUCCAAGAAAACGACCAGAAAGGAAAACUCUUAUGAUACGAAGAGAAACUAGACAAAUUGUUUGGUCAAGAAGUACAACUUUUAGACCUUUUGAUGGUUAUGUGGAAAUAAGAGAGGUGAAAGAAGUUAGGAUAGGAAAACAAUCUAAAGACUUUGAAAAAUGGCCUGAAGAUGCUAAAAGAACUGAAAAUUUAAGAUGUUUUGUAGUAUAUUAUGGAUCAGAAUUUAGACUGAAAACUCUUUCCAUAUCUGCUCUUAGUGAAAAAGAAUGUGAACUGUGGGUCAAAGGAUUGCGUCACUUGGUACAAGAUACUAUUAAUGCACCAUAUCCAUUACAAGUUGAGAGAUGGCUGAGAAAAGAGUUUUAUGCAAUGGAAAAUUCUCGUGAGAUGAUCACAUUGAAAGAUGUGAAAGCAUUUUUGCCUCGGGUUAAUUGCAAAAUUGCUACAAAUAGACUUAGAGAAUUGUUCCAAGAAGUUGACACGAGAAAUCGAAAUGAACUUGGUUUUGAUGAUUUUGUUAUUCUAUAUCAUAAACUGAUGUUUGAUCAAAAUAAUCUUGCGGAUUGGCAUAAAUUGUUGAAUUAUUCUAAAACUGGACAGACUGUUAUGGUCCAAGAAUUUCAGAAUUUUUUAAUAACUGAACAACAAGAUGGUUUGGGGAAUAAUGAAUUAGAAAUAUCGCGUUUUAUUAGAGAAUAUUUACAAGAUUCUCAAAGAGACAUACAAGAGCCAUAUUUUACUUUUUCCGAAUUUAUAGACUUUUUAUUUUCUAAGCACAAUGACAUAUGGAAUCAAAAAUAUAAUCAAGUUUUUCAAGAUAUGACUCGACCCCUUGCACAUUAUUGGAUAGCGUCAUCGCACAACACAUAUUUGAUGGGAGAUCAGAUUAGCAGCGAAAGUAGUUGUCAGGCAUAUGUGCGUGCGCUAAGAGCCGGAUGUAGAUGUAUAGAACUUGAUUGUUGGGAUGGUCCAGAUGGAAUGCCAUUUAUAUUUCAUGGACACACUCUUACCACUAAAAUUAAAUUCUUAGACGUUAUCAAGAUCAUCAAGGAGCAUGCUUUUGCUACAUCUGAAUAUCCUGUUAUUUUAUCUAUUGAGGAUAAUUGCACUUUACCUCAACAACGUAAAAUGGCAACGACUAUGCAAGAGGUAUUUGGUGACAUGUUGUUAGUCCAACCUAUUGACAAGAAUGAAACUUGUCUACCUUCGCCAUAUGCAUUACGUAGAAAAAUUUUGUUAAAACACAAGAAACUUCCUGAGGGUGUUGAUGAAUCCUCGUUUCUUAUUCGAAAUGAUGAAAGCAGACAAGAAAUGGAUCUUAGAAAUACCAUAAAAAAUGGAAUUCUUUAUCUAGAAGAUCCUGUCGAUAGAGAAUGGAAUUCUCAUUUUUUUGUACUGACACAACAAAAAUUGUUUUAUACAGAUACGUUUUCAAGAGCACAAGAAACUGAACACGAUGACGAUGAGGAAAGUGGCGUUCGGAGAUCGUUAGAUGGUGCGCCAAAUAACGAAUUACACUUUGGGGAAAAAUGGUUUCACGGAAAGUUAGCAAGAGGGCGAGAGGAGGCUGAAGAAUUAUUACAGCAUUAUUCCUAUCUUGGAGAUGGUACAUUUCUAGUACGACAAUGUGUUACAUUUGUGGGUGAUUACUGUUUAUCGUUUUGGCGUAAAGGAAAGGUGAACCAUUGUCGUAUCAAACUGAAGCAAGAAAUGGGUCAAACACAGUAUUAUCUCAUUGAUACCAAUUGUUUUGACAGUCUUUACAGUUUAAUUACUCAUUAUCGUAAUCAUCCACUUAGAAGCCAAGAAUUUCUAAUUACGUUACAAGAACCAGUGCCUCAGCCAAAUAAACAUGAGGAAAAAGAAUGGUGGCAUCCCGAAUGUACUCGAAUUGCAGCAGAAGAGAUGCUAAAGCGUAUACCUACAGAUGGUGCAUUUUUAGUAAGACCUAGUGAAAGAGAAAGUAAUUGCUAUGCAAUUUCAUUUAGAGCGGAAAAGAAGAUAAAGCACUGUAAAAUAAAACUUGAAGGAAGACUCUACACCACUGGGACUGUAGAAUUUGAAAGUUUAGUUGAAUUAGUCAAUUAUUACGAACGGCAUCCAUUGUUUAAAAAGAUUAAAUUAAGUUAUCCUGUUAAUCAGGACAUUAUCAGAAGAAUGGGUUUGGAUAAUGAUGAUGGAUCUGUUUACGGCAUCCCUGGUUAUAUGGAUCCUACAAGUUUUACAUCAAAAGUUACUGUUAAAGCUAUUUAUGAUUAUAAAGCUAGAAGAGAGGACGAAUUGACGUUGGUUAAGCAUGCUAUAAUUACUAAUGUUAAUCCGCAAAGUGGAGGAUGGUGGAGAGGAGAUUAUGGUGGCAAGAAACAACAUUGGUUUCCUGCUAAUUAUGUAGAACAAAUUGAUCAACAAGAAACUCAAGGAGAUUCAUCCGAUUCUAUGAUGCUUGGUAACUUGCAAAAAGGUUCGUUGGAUAUAAUGGGUGCUGUGGUAGAAUUAACAGUUGGAGAAAGACCAGGUUUGGAAUGGAUCUUAAGAAUACAAAAUCCUAGUAUGUGUUCAGUAUUUGAAAUCGCAACACCUUCAAAAGAUACUGCAUUAGAAUGGAUGUCAAGUAUUAAAGAGACUGCACAAAAUGCAAGUGUUAGGGAAAGUCAACACAAAGAGAUGGAAAGGGCAUGGAGAAUAGCCAAGGAAAUGUCUAAUCUUAUCGUAUAUUGUAGAUCAGUUGCAUUUAACAUAGAACGAAUAAGAACUAAGGGAUUUACGUUUAAUGAAAUGAGUAGUUUUCCUGAAACAAAGGCUGAAAAGUUAAUAUGUCAACAAGAAAAUAAAUUUUUUAUAAAAUAUCAUCAGGUUCAAUUCAGUAGAGUUUAUCCAAAGGGGCAACGUAUCGAUUCAAGUAAUUUUAAUCCUGUACCAAUGUGGAAUUCUGGUUGUCAAAUGGUGGCUUUGAACUACCAGACUGGAGAUAAAUCAAUGCAAUUGAAUCAAGCUAAAUUUAAAGAGAAUGGAAAUUGUGGCUAUUUAUUGAAACCAGAAUUCAUGUUUAGACACGACUUCAAUCCAUAUGACAAAAAUACAUUGCAUGGAGUUGAAUCGCUCAAGAUUAGCUUAAAAAUUAUUGGAGCGAGACAUUUAAUGAGAUCAGGAAGAGGCACUGCCAGUCCAUCCGUCGAGAUCGAAAUUGUAGGCGCAGAUUUUGAUUCAGGGACGAAAUUAACAACAAGGACAAUACAGGAUAAUGGAUUUAAUCCAAUGUGGAAUGAGACAUGUGAAUUUGAAAUAUCUAAUCCAUAUUUUGCUCUUAUACGAUUUUUGGUGCAAGACGAAGAUAUGUUUGGCGAUAGCAAUUUCAUAGGACAAGCUACUUAUCCAGUACGCUGUUUAAGAACAGGAUAUCGAAGUGUUCCAUUAAAAAACAUGUACAGCGAAGAUCUUGAGCUUGCUUCCUUAUUAGUACACAUUAAUAUUACAAUUUUAUCGGUACAUAAUGCAUGACAUAAAUUAACAAAGAUGAAAAUCUGUGUUAUAAUAUAUUAAAGUUGUAAACUAGUAAAUUUACUAAAUUAAAGAGAUGAAGGAUGAUGUAGUUAUUGUAAGUGGAAAUCAAAAAAAUACUACACAAUUGCAUAAAAUUGACAGAUCAGAUUACAUUAUUAGAAGACUAUACAUUUAUGUUGAAUUUUGACGAAUUGUGUGUGUGUGUGUGUGUGUGUGUGUGUGUGUGUGUGUGUGUGUGUGUGUGUGUGUGUGUGUGUGUGUGUGUGUGUGUGUGUGUGUGUAAUUGCAACAAUUUGUUGGAAGUAAAAAUAUUUCUAUAAUUGCAGUAGGAAACAAAGAUAAAUAAGUAAUCUAAAUAAAUAUUCUUGUGUUAAAAAAAGAGUAGAAUUAAAAUUUAGAACAAUUAGUCAAAAAAUAGACAUGACAUAAUUUUGUUGCGCGUGCGCAAUAAUAAUUUAUGCUGUUAAUGAUAUACCAAUUUGUCUUUGAAAAAUGGCUCUACAUAUCAUAUAACGACUGAAUAAUUUCUUCUUAUAAAUUUUAAUUUAUCAUAAGCAUUAUAUUUUAUACUUAUAUAUAGUAUCUGUUAAUACUUUACUUUUAAUUUGAAAUAAAAGAAAUGAUUGUGUGCGUUGAAGUAAAUAUAUAAGUGAAAAAUUUUAAAUUCGGACUUUGCAUCACAAUAUCUCCACUCGUAGGGCAUGUAGAGUAAAAAGAAAAACAGUUUUCUUAUACAAAUCAAACCCAAACUUUCGAUUGAGCCUGGUUAGAACUUGAUCGAUUUAGUUGUUAUUGAGCUCUGAUAAUCUCAGGUGCUCGCAAGUUGUGUACUCCCGUAUAAUACACGGGGUGACCUCGCCCUGCUCGUUCACUUGGCGCGAGACACUGCUGUCUCUUGAUAACGAAAAAAAAAAGAAAUGUAAUAAACAGCACAAGAGUACACUAUAAUUGAGAAUCUCAUAUGCACAUUACACAGAUGUGUAACAUAAUUGCCUUUAACAUGAAUAUAGGCUCUUCCCUAUUUAAAUUGCGUUUUUAACAAAGUUACCGCGCUAUAUUACGUGGAUUCUAUAUUAUAUGAAUGCCUGCUUCUAUGUUGAUAAAAUAAAUAUAGCGAGCAAUAAUUGUAACCAAAGUGAUAUUGUAUAUUUGCAUGGAGUAAGAGUAGAGGAGGACGAUCUUCAUAGCGUGCGAGUAGCAAAAGUGACCCCGUUUUUAGACUCCUAAAUUUUAUGUAGUAAGUUUUGCUUUGUUACAAAUACGACUAAGCAUAUCAAAAUAAAUAGUUCUGCAGAACAUGUGUUACGGAUAUCAUAGGUAACUGAUAAAGAGAAUAAAGAAGUUUAUAGAUA
RNAcentral lists this unclassified non-coding RNA (4951 nucleotides) under Monomorium pharaonis (pharaoh ant). RNAcentral's name for it is "1-phosphatidylinositol 4,5-bisphosphate phosphodiesterase gamma-1, transcript variant X1". Lineage: Eukaryota; Metazoa; Arthropoda; Insecta; Hymenoptera; Formicidae. The record is from RNAcentral.